UGCGGGGUGGUUGCUGCUGGUAGCAAUACCUGGCUCUGAACCAGGUGGGCGUUGGUUCGAUUCCAACCCCCGCAA
Molecule: transfer RNA, 75 nt
Filed under: Planctomycetota bacterium
Lineage: Bacteria; Pseudomonadati; Planctomycetota
Description: Planctomycetes bacterium (activated sludge metagenome) tRNA-Gln
Rfam family: tRNA
About the family: Transfer RNA (tRNA) molecules are approximately 80 nucleotides in length. Their secondary structure includes four short double-helical elements and three loops (D, anti-codon, and T loops). Further hydrogen bonds mediate the characteristic L-shaped molecular structure. tRNAs have two regions of fundamental functional importance: the anti-codon, which is responsible for specific mRNA codon recognition, and the 3' end, to which the tRNAs corresponding amino acid is attached (by aminoacyl-tRNA synthetases). tRNAs cope with the degeneracy of the genetic code in two manners: having more than one tRNA (with a specific anti-codon) for a particular amino acid; and 'wobble' base-pairing, i.e. permitting non-standard base-pairing at the 3rd anti-codon position.
Source: RNAcentral